Molecule: long non-coding RNA, 1057 nt
Organism: Bos taurus (domestic cattle)
Lineage: Eukaryota; Metazoa; Chordata; Mammalia; Artiodactyla; Bovidae
Source: Ensembl
GGUCCGAGCUUCCUGCCAGGAGCCCAGUGGACUGGAGGGGAGAGGGGGAGGAGGCUGUGGACACUGCAUCAGGACCCAGGAAUGCUCCACUGGACGGGAAGCAAAGACAGCCAACUUCCUUCCCAGUUUCUGCUGCUCUGAGGGGUGACCAGAAAAUGGGCCAUCUGGAGGGUUGAGUGGACUCCUCUGUCCCUGACUCAGUCACAGCCAGGCCCUCGCCGACCCCCAUUUCGAGAACAAGGCGCCCCCAGCCCCCUGCCCUGCCGCUUGUGUUAAGCACAUUUGGGACCUGCCAGAUCCAAGUUUGGCAACAGGUGCCCAGGUGUGUGAGCCUCAAACUGCUUCUGCCCCUGCUGGAAAGAAUGUUUGCACUCUGGAUUGGAUGGGCUGAGUGGCUGCUCCAGUGCCAGGCUGAGGUUGAGCAAGGUGCCACCUCCUGAGUCAGCAGGAGUCUGGAGCACACCAACCAGAGAAAGUCCUGGAAGCAGAGGUAGAGGGGAAGAAGAAUUGAAGGUGGGAACCAGGGCUCUAUAGAGAGAACUGGGCCAGGCCAGGAGUGCGCUACAACACCAAGGCCCCCACAAGGGGGAGAAGAAAAACCUGUUGAGAGAAAACCCUGGACCAGCAGCCCAGGAUACCAAGGUUCUGUUCUAAUUCUACCUCCCAGAGGCUGUGUGACAAGAGGAAGCCGCUUUCCUUCUCUGGGCUUCUGUUUAUCUACCUUGAAGGUUGAAAAAACAGAGGAAAUGAAAUAUGUAAAGCGUGGAGCCCAGAGGCAGGAGUAGGUGCUCAAUAGACAUGAGUUCUCUUCCCUUAUCCUGAACACGGCUGUUGAUCCCUCUCCAGGGGUCUAACUAAGGCACUUUGCAGCCCAGAUAGUCCAUGUCUCUGAAGGAAUCCCUCUUUUCUUCCCCCAUUAACACUAGCAGGCUCAACACACCCAGAUCCCAAAGAGACCCUGCUUGGAGUGGGCGAGGUGGGGUGGGGAAGGGAGUUGAACACUAAGAAGGGGAGGAAGCUAGGGGUGGAGGCAGGUGCACACGCAUGACAACAGGAG